AGAAGAGACAGCGCCGCCGGCCGUGGGGAGCGGACGCAGUGAUUUGCUCCCCCUCGUGCAGCAACCCCCACACCCAGCACCAGGCCCCCAGAACUCUCCUUCCAGCUGAACUCCCUGGGAACAAGUCAGUUGGGCUGAUCACUGAACUCACAUUUCUGGACCUGAGGAGCCUGUUCCUCUCACGCCCUCACCUGGCUGAGCCGCAGUAGUUCUUCAGUGGCAAGCUUUAUGUCCUGACCCAGCUAAAGCUGCCAGUUGAAGAACUGUUGCCCUCUGCCCCUGGCUUCGAGGAGGAGGAGGAGCUGCUUUCCCCAUCAUCUGGAAGGCUUUCUGCCUCCGAGAUGUGGCACCAUAGUGCGGUGCCCUGUGGCUUCACCGCCCUACUUCCACCUCCGCCCAGCCUGUAAUGUUUAUAUAAGCAGCCUCAAGGACCAAGAACCAUCUGCGAAAGGACACACACAGGAAAUUCAUAAAAGAAAUCUGAAUGGAUAAAACCAUGAAAAAAAGUAUGCUUCAUUAGUAAUUAAAGAAAGGCAAAUAGAGCUGGAAGCAUUUUUCCCUUAGCAAACCAUAACAGAAAAAAAUAAGACCCAAUAUUGGCAAAGAGACUACUGAAAAAACAUUCCCAUACAUUGCGUGUGGGAGUAUACAUCGGUGCAGGCUUCCUGGAUGACAGUUGGGUGAUAUGUGUCAUGUGGCCUAAAAGCCUCCAUGUCAUUUGACCUACGAAUUCUAUCUUUGGGAAUUUAUCCUA
RNAcentral lists this long non-coding RNA (754 nucleotides) under Homo sapiens (human). RNAcentral describes it as "MIR22 host gene (ENSG00000282800.1)". The stretch from base 194 to 277 matches the Rfam family "mir-22 microRNA precursor family". The record is from RNAcentral. Lineage: Eukaryota; Metazoa; Chordata; Mammalia; Primates; Hominidae.